AGCGAACGCUGGCGGCAGGCCUAACACAUGCAAGUCGAACGAACUCUUCGGAGUUAGUGGCGGACGGGUGAGUAACACGUGGGAACGUGCCCUUUGGUACGGAAUAACUCAGGGAAACUUGAGCUAAUACCGUAUGUGCCCUUCGGGGGAAAGAUUUAUCGCCAUUGGAGCGGCCCGCGUCUGAUUAGCUAGUUGGUGAGGUAAAGGCUCACCAAGGCUACGAUCAGUAGCUGGUCUGAGAGGAUGAUCAGCCACAUUGGGACUGAGACACGGCCCAAACUCCUACGGGAGGCAGCAGUGGGGAAUCUUGCGCAAUGGGCGAAAGCAUGACGCAGCCAUGCCGCGUGAAUGAUGAAGGUCUUAGGAUUGUAAAAUUCUUUCACCGGGGACGAUAAUGACGGUACCCGGAGAAGAAGCCCCGGCUAACUUCGUG
Molecule: ribosomal RNA, 433 nt
Filed under: uncultured bacterium
Lineage: Bacteria
Description: partial 16S ribosomal RNA
Rfam family: Bacterial small subunit ribosomal RNA
Source: RNAcentral